GAAUGCACUCGAAGGUUGGUGAAAAGGAUAAGCUUUGACCCAAAGAUGGAUUAAAGGAAAGGUGGAUCGAUGGUUCUUCAGUAUAAGGCUGCGGAAGGCCAGAUACUUGCUGGGUUGGUCUUAGUCCGUGAGAGGCAGCCCCACUAGUGAACAAGACCGUGCUUACGGAGAUCACUCUCGUAGCAUUACGAUGUUCCAAAGAACAAAGGAUUCAACAAAUUUAAAAAGUAGAUUUUUAUUAAAAGGGUUGAAUGAAUAAAAACAAUACAAAGCAAACCUUUAUAUAAUAGGCAAUCUGUAAAAUUAAAUAAUCUAGUCAAUCCUUGAAACUAUAAAGCUCUUAAAACUAUGAAGACUUGACUAGGAAUAUUGACUUGACCAAAGACCAAGACUGUUGACUAAAUUUUGGAAAUUGUGUUCGCAGAAUUCCUUGGCUGGUCACAUCCUUUUGCAUGAUCGACGGUCUCUGAAUUGCCGUCAGAUUGAUAUAUUAUACGACAUUGGCUUGUAUUUUCUUGGUGAGCCUUUCUUUUUUUUUUGGACUUCUCUUGAUUUACUUGUUCCUGAACAAGGUCACAUCAUCCCCUCCUCCUUCAAAAGGAUUUGCCCUCAAAUCCGACUUAAUGUUUAGAACCUGUGACCGUGAGAGGCAGCCCCACUAGUGAUCAAAACAGGUUGCUUUUGGAGAAGCAAUCUCCUAGAGCCAUUACGAGAGAUGGAGGAGCAGUCUCGAUUUAACUUCAGAUGGAAUGAUCUCUUGUUUUCUCGUGGAUUUUUUUUUUUUUUUUUUUUGUAGAAGAUGGAAAGAUGAGAAUGAUGAAUGACAGAAGUGAACACCGAACCCUCAAGUGUGCUCUGAUACCAAAUAAUAGAAAAUCUCCCAAGGAAUGCACUCGAAGGUUGGUGAAAAGGAUAAGCUUUGACCCAAAGAUGGAUUAAAGGAAAGGUGGAUCGAUGGUUCUUCAGUAUAAGGCUGCGGAAGGCCAGAUACUUGCUGGGUUGGUCUUAGUCCGUGAGAGGCAGCCCCACUAGUGAACAAGACCGUGCUUACGGAGAUCACUCUCGUAGCAUUACGAUGUUCCAAAGAACAAAGGAUUCAACAAAUUUAAAAAGUAGAUUUUUAUUAAAAGGGUUGAAUGAAUAAAAACAAUACAAAGCAAACCUUUAUAUAAUAGGCAAUCUGUAAAAUUAAAUAAUCUAGUCAAUCCUUGAAACUAUAAAGCUCUUAAAACUAUGAAGACUUGACUAGGAAUAUUGACUUGACCAAAGACCAAGACUGUUGACUGAAUUUUGGAAAUUGUGUUCGCAGAAUUCCUUGGCUGGUCGCAUCCUUUUGCAUGAUCGACGGUCUCUGAAUUGCCGUCAGAUUGAUAUAUUAUACGACAUUGGCUUGUAUUUUCUUGGUGAGCCUUUCUUUUUUUUUGGACUUCUCUUGAUUUACUUGUUCCUGAACAAGGUCACAUCAUCCCCUCCUCCUUCAAAAAGAUUUGCCCUCAAAUCCGACUUAAUGUUUAGAACCUGUGACCGUGAGAGGCAGCCCCACUAGUGAUCAAAACAGGUUGCUUUUGGAGAAGCAAUCUCCUAGAGCCAUUACGAGAGAUGGAGGAGCAGUCUCGAUUUAACUUCAGAUGGAAUGAUCUCUUGUUUUCUCGUGGAUUUUUUUUUUUUUUUUUUUUUGUAGAAGAUGGAAAGAUGAGAAUGAUGAAUGACAGAAGUGAACACCGAACCCUCAAGUGUGCUCUGAUACCAAAUAAUAGAAAAUCUCCCAAGGAAUGCACUCGAAGGUUGGUGAAAAGGAUAAGCUUUGACCCAAAGAUGGAUUAAAGGAAAGGUGGAUCGAUGGUUCUUCAGUAUAAGGCUGCGGAAGGCCAGAUACUUGCUGGGUUGGUCUUAGUCCGUGAGAGGCAGCCCCACUAGUGAACAAGACCGUGCUUACGGAGAUCACUCUCGUAGCAUUACGAUGUUCCAAAGAACAAAGGAUUCAACAAAUUUAAAAAAUAGAUUUUUAUUAAAAGGGUUGAAUGAAUAAAAACAAUACAAAGCAAACCUUUAUAUAAUAGGCAAUUUGUAAAAUUAAAUAAUCUAGUCAAUCCUUGAAACUAUAAAGCUCUUAAAACUAUGAAGACUUGACUAGGAAUAUUGACUUGACCAAAGACCAAGACUGUUGACUGAAUUUUGGAAAUCGUGUUCGCAGAAUUCCUUGGCUGGUCGCAUCCUUUUGCAUGAUCGACGGUCUCUGAAUUGCCGUCAGAUUGAUAUAUUAUACGACAUUGGCUUGUAUUUUCUUGGUGAGCCUUUCUUUUUUUUGGACUUCUCUUGAUUUG
Molecule: long non-coding RNA, 2324 nt
Filed under: Brassica rapa (field mustard)
Lineage: Eukaryota; Viridiplantae; Streptophyta; Magnoliopsida; Brassicales; Brassicaceae
Description: long non-coding RNA (BRAP_LNC008359)
Source: RNAcentral